Molecule: ribosomal RNA, 497 nt
Filed under: uncultured bacterium
Lineage: Bacteria
Description: partial 16S ribosomal RNA
Rfam family: Bacterial small subunit ribosomal RNA
Source: RNAcentral
GAUGAACGCUGGCGGCGUGCCUAAUACAUGCAAGUCGAGCGAACAGACGAGGAGCUUGCUCCUCUGACGUUAGCGGCGGACGGGUGAGUAACACGUGGAUAACCUACCUAUAAGACUGGGUUAACUUCGGGAAACCGGAGCUAAUACCGGAUAAUAUAUUGAACCGCAUGGUUCAAUAGUGAAAGACGGUUUUGCUGUCACUUAUAGAUGGAUCCGCGCCGCAUUAGCUAGUUGGUAAGGUAACGGCUUACCAAGGCAACGAUGCGUAGCCGACCUGAGAGGGUGAUCGGCCACACCGGAACUGAGACACGGUCCAGACUCCUACGGGAGGCAGCAGUAGGGAAUCUUCCGCAAUGGGCGAAAGCCUGACGGAGCAACGCCGCGUGAGUGAUGAAGGUCUUCGGAUCGUAAAACUCUGUUAUUAGGGAAGAACAAAUGUGUAAGUAACUAUGCACGUCUUGACGGUACCUAAUCAGAAAGCCACGGCUAACUACGUG